RNAcentral lists this ribosomal RNA (524 nucleotides) under uncultured bacterium. RNAcentral describes it as "bacterial SSU rRNA". It matches the Rfam family "Bacterial small subunit ribosomal RNA", at positions 777 to 1314 of the family's 1533-position model. The record is from RNAcentral.
AAUAGAUACCCUGGUAGUCCACGCCGUAAACUAUGGAUGCUAGCUGUUACCAGUAUCGACCCUGGUAGUAGCGAAGCUAACGCGUUAAGCAUCCCGCCUGUGGAGUACGAGCGCAAGCUUAAAACAUAAAGGAAUUGACGGGGACCCGCACAAGCGGUGGAGCGUGUUGUUUAAUUCGAUGGUAAGCGAAGAACCUUACCCAGGCUUGACAUCCUGCGAAUCUUGCCGAAAGGCGAGAGUGCUUUAUUGAGCGCAGUGACAGGUGUUGCAUGGCCGUCGUCAGCUCGUGUCGUGAGAUGUUUGGUUAAGUCCAUCAACGAGCGCAACCCUUAUAGUCAGUUGAACUUCUCUGGCUAGACUGCCCUGGUAACAGGGAGGAAGGAGGGGAUGAUGUCAGGUCAGUAUUACCCUUACGUCUGGGGCUACAAACACGCUACAAUGGCCGGUACAAAGGGCAGCCAACCCGCGAGGGGGAGCAAAUCCCAUCAAAGCCGGUCUCAGUUCGGAUAGCAGGCUGAAACUCG